RNAcentral lists this ribosomal RNA (253 nucleotides) under uncultured bacterium. Its description in RNAcentral is "partial 16S ribosomal RNA". It matches the Rfam family "Bacterial small subunit ribosomal RNA", at positions 524 to 776 of the family's 1533-position model. The record is from RNAcentral.
GACAGAGGUGCCAAGCGUUAGGCGGAAUCACUGGGCUUAAAGCGUGUGUAGGCGGACUCGUAAGUACCUUGUGAAAUCCCACGGCUCAACCGUGGAACUGCUUGGUAUACUGCUUGUCUUGAGCCACUUAGGGGCUGUCGGAACAAACGGUGGAGCGGUGAAAUGCGCAGAGAUCAGGAGGAACACCCGUAGCGAAGGCGGCACGCUGGGCCGAUACUGACACUGAGGAGCGAAAGCGUGGGGAGCGAACAGG